This 3644-nucleotide long non-coding RNA is filed under the name Sarcophilus harrisii (Tasmanian devil). RNAcentral's name for it is "lncRNA (ENSSHAG00000026398.1)". Lineage: Eukaryota; Metazoa; Chordata; Mammalia; Dasyuromorphia; Dasyuridae. The record is from RNAcentral.
CCCCCCAAAAUUCUUCAUUGGGGUUUCCAUCCAGGUCUUAUUUCAGGUCUAGCUAGGCUUGUGUUUUGACUUCUGCCCAAAUUUUAUUCAAUGUUUACAUUUACUGAUAUCCAUCUCAGUUGUCCUGUCAGCAAGAUUGAUCACCUGUGUACAUGUGAUUGUAUCUAGGUACCCUUGAGAUCCUGGACAAGAGGAAGCCACACCUUUUUGGCUUGCUCUCCUCUACUAGAUAAUCUAACAAAUUGUUUUCUAAAAUGAUUUCUAAUUUUUUCCCCUCAUGGACAGCAAUCACAUCCCCUUUUGACUCAGUUCUCUUAAUCUGCAUCCAAAUCUAAAUGCAUACCUGACUUUCUUCUUCUCUAUUAUACAUUUUAAUAGUAAAUAGUUAUUUAAACCCAAGUUUUCUAUUAUUUCUAGCCUAUCUUGCCUGUAAUUAAGAAUUAGAUUUGUAAUGGAUUUUUGUCUCUCUUUUUUUAAUCUUUUGAAGGAUAAACUCAUCAUGGAGGUGAUUCAAGGUUUUAUUAGCUUCUCGAAGGAGUAUUGAAGUAAACCCCUGGGUCCAAUGUCUUUGAUCCAAAAUUUUAUGAGUCUUGGUGACUAUCCCAGAGUCUUGCAAGGUACCAUAUGCUGUCUUGCUGAUCAUACAGAUUUCUGUUUUAAAGUGAACAGAGCUAUCAGAAUUGCCUCUUGUAUCCUUAUUGAGUAUCCUUUCUGUGCUUUGACCAAGUAAACUUACUUUUAUUAGUUAUUGAAUGACAUAUGUGUGUUUCAUUUCAUUCCAGCAUUGGACUUAAAUAACUAGGGGAACAGGCUAAAUUAGUUUCAUCCUACAAUAAUUAUAAAUGGAAGAUAGCAUUGCAUUUGGAGAAUGACAUUAUCUGAUGGAGGAUAAAAAAAUCAUAUAUUCUACACUGAUUUCAAUAUCAUAAUUUAUAUAACUUUAAGAGUCAUAAUGUGAUCAGCUAGCCUAGAAAAGACUUCAUUCAACAAGCAUCUAGUCUACUUGCCAAAUGCAGAGAUACAGCAGAAGAAGGAACUCUAAAGUGAUAAAAUUUUAUGGAGAAGGUUGGUGUAAACAUGAGCAAUAGCAUCUCAUAAAUAAGAAGAAGCAGUGAAGUAGAAAAGUUUAUAAGACAUUUGGUGAGAGAUCUAACUAAGCCAAAUCAUCUGGUGGGUGAAGGAUGAAACUGAAAGGAGGACAAGAAACAUAAGAAAAAUGGAAAAGAUGUGUCAAGAUUUUUAUAAUAAACAUUUUUUUUUUCUGUCAGUGCUAAAGGAACCAUAACAUUUGGACUUGAAAAUUGCACAGCUCAAUGUGCUAUUUGAGGCAAUAGAAACAGCACUAGAGAAAACAAAGAUGGAAAAGGAACCUUGACUGAAUUAAGUAUGCAUAAAAGAAUAUUGUGUUGAAAGUUAAAUAGUUGUGAGCACUUGGAGACAUUUUUUCUCAAGGUAUUUGUAAAUAGAGGCUACCAAAGGCUUGGGGAAAAAAAACUGUUUCACUUAAAAAAAAAUUAAUUUCUAUCCAGUAGCUGGUAAUGUGUUAGCCACAAUUAUGAAAGAUCUAACUUUACAUUCUGAAUUUUUUUGUGGUAUGACUUUAACGGUGUGAAUCCAUUAAAAUUUUAUUGUAGCAUAAUUUAAAAUAUACUACCCUAAAUCUGUUUUCUAUUCACUCUUGUGUUUUUCAAAGUUUAUUCCAUUAGUUUUUUUUGUGCCAUAGGAAAUACCCAAUAAACCCUCCUGUGUUACAAAAUAAAACAGAUAAGCAAAGCCAAUCAAUACAGUAAUAAUAUCUAUCAGCAUAUGCAACAUCAAAUAUCCAUACCUGACUCUUUUCUUAGAAGACUGAAAUGUUCUUCUUCAUCUGUACAUUAGAAUUAAUAUUGAUAAUUGAGUUUAAUUAAAUUAGCUGCCUUUUUUUUGGUUUCAUUAACUUUUUUUCAGGGGGUGUAUGUGGAAGAGACAGCCUACGAUUUCAUCAAUAUAGGGAAAAGAUUAGGUAAUGUAGAAUGGCAAUCAAUCUGAAAUUUAGCCUUAGAGAAUUUCUGGGGACACUGAGGAAUUAAAUGACUUGCUUUGGGUCACAAAACCAAUAUUUGUUAGAGGGGUAACUUGAACCCAGAACUUCCUUUACUCUUAUAUUAUGUUGAUAUUUCUACUUUUUUACAUUUGAUUUUGAGGUUUUGAUGUCCUAUUACAUGGUCUUUUUUUAUGUAGAGAGUGAAAAAGCUAUAUUUCUGUAACCAUUCAGUUUUAUGUUUAACUUUCUGAACAUUCUGUCUACCUCUUUAGUUUCUCCUUUGUUUAUUUUUUGGUUGAACUUAUCAAGUUCUGAGAGGGGACAGUUGAGGUUUCUGUUGUGCCUCCCCAUGUAAUUUUGCUGUCUAUUUCUUCCUGUAACUCACUUAACUUCUCAUUUAAGAAUUUAGAUGCUAAACCACUUAGUGCAUAUAUAUUUAAUAUUAUUGCUUCAUUAUUUAUGGUGCCUUUUAGGAAGAUGUAGUCUCCUUCCUUAUCUUGUUUAAUUAGAUGUGUUUGUCUGAGAUCAGGAUUGCUACUCCUAUUUUUUUAAUUUUUUACUACAGCUGAAGCAUAAUAGAUUGUGCUCCAGCUCCUUACUUUUAUUCUGUGAGGUGUUGCUCUCCUUUAAAUUUGUUUUUCAUAGAUAACAUAUUGUAGGAUUAUGUUUUUUGAUUCACUCUCCUAUCCAUUUCUUUUUAUUGGAUAGUUUUAUCUCUUUCACGUUCAUAGUUGUAAUUACUACCUAUGUAUUUCACUGAAUCCUCUUCUUCCUCCUAUUUAUCCCCUUCUCCUUUCAUCCUUUCCUUACUCACUAGUGAUUUGCUUCUAGACAGAAGCCCUAUCUGGAAGAAAGGGGUGUCUUGGUGUAGGCAUUUCCUUGCCAAAGAGGGCAAGAAAUAACACAAUGUAAAAAAAUGAAAAAAUAAAACAGAAUGUGAAACAUCUUAUAAGAAAAAUAACAGAUCUAGAGAACAGAUCAAGAAGAAUAAUUGGACUACCUGAAAGCUAUGACUGAAAAAAAGUACCUUGACAUAAUUAUGCAAGAAAUAACCAAAGAAAUUGUCCUGGAGUGAUAGAAUAGAAAGGGAAACUAGAAAUAGACAAAACCCACCUCUUACUGCCUCAAAUAGAUCCUAUGUGAAAAACAUUUAAGAAUAUUGUUGCUAAAUUUAGAAACCACAGAUCAAAGAGAAAAUUCUAUGAAAAACAAAUAAACAAACAAAAAAACCUGAUCCAAAUAUGCUAGAGUUACAUUUGAAAUUGUGCAGGAUUUAUCAGCAGCUAUAAUAAAAGACCACAAAUUCUGGAAUAAUAUACAUUGACAAUCAAAAGAACUAGGCCGGUGGUUAAAAUAUAUAUCCAACAAAACUAACCAUAAUAUUGAAUGACCAUAAUUGUCAUUUAACAAACUUGAAAAUUUUCAGGACUUUGUCUCAAACAAACUUAUACUUAAUAGAAAAUUUAAUAUGAGUCAAUAUCAAUGAUUAAUUUCAAGGAUUGUUUGUUUGAUCUGACCCCAUCAUUUUUUUUUCUUUAUUAAAACUUUUUAUUUUUCAAAACAUGGACAAUUUUUCAACAUUAGCCCUUGUAAAAUCUUGUGUUCCAAUUUCCCCUCCCCU